Molecule: ribosomal RNA, 541 nt
Filed under: uncultured bacterium
Lineage: Bacteria
Description: bacterial SSU rRNA
Rfam family: Bacterial small subunit ribosomal RNA
Source: RNAcentral
UAAGGAAUAUUGGUCAAUGGACGAAAGUCUGAACCAGCCAUGCCGCGUGGAGGAUGAAGGUCCUCUGGAUUGUAAACUUCUUUUAUAUGGGACGAAAAAGGGCUUUUCUAAGUCAACUGACGGUACCAUAUGAAUAAGCACCGGCUAACUCCGUGCCAGCAGCCGCGGUAAUACGGAGGGUGCAAGCGUUAUCCGGAUUCACUGGGUUUAAAGGGUGCGUAGGUGGGUUGGUAAGUCAGCGGUGAAAUCCCCGAGCUUAACUUGGGAACUGCCAUUGAUACUAUCAGUCUUGAAUGCCGUGGAGGUCAGCGGAAUAUGUCAUGUAGCGGUGAAAUGCUUAGAUAUGACAUAGAACACCAAUUGCGAAGGCAGCUGACUACACGAAUAUUGACACUGAGGCACGAAAGCGUGGGGAUCAAACAGGAUUAGAUACCCUGGUAGUCCACGCCCUAAACUAUGGAUACUCGACAUACGCGAUACACAGUGUGUGUCUGAGCGAAAGCAUUAAGUAUCCCACCUGGGAAGUACGAUCGCAAGAUUG